ACGUCGACACCUACGGGAGGCGGCAGUAGGGAAUCUUCCACAAUGGACGCAAGUCUGAUGGAGCAACGCCGCGUGAGUGAAGAAGGUUUUCGGAUCGUAAAGCUCUGUUGUUGGUGAAGAAGGAUAGAGGUAGUAACUGGCCUUUAUUUGACGGUAAUCAACCAGAAAGUCACGGCUAACUACGUGCCAUCAGCCGCGGUAAUCUGAGCGGGCUGGCAAGGC
Molecule: ribosomal RNA, 222 nt
Filed under: uncultured bacterium
Lineage: Bacteria
Description: partial 16S ribosomal RNA
Rfam family: Bacterial small subunit ribosomal RNA
Source: RNAcentral